Long non-coding RNA from Lolium rigidum, 579 nucleotides. RefSeq lists it as uncharacterized. The record is from RefSeq and is a predicted model, not a curated record. NCBI's taxonomy places the organism in Eukaryota, Viridiplantae, Streptophyta, Magnoliopsida, Poales, Poaceae. The transcript has 2 exons.
CAGGUACACUAGCAACUACUCUUUUUGUCAUCUAUUAUGAUUUAGUUGAGACUGAGGUCAACAUAUAUGCUGGAAAAGGACAACUUUGCAUGUAUUAACUUCUGGACUAUUGUAAUGUGCGUCAUCAGCCAGAGAAGGCGGGGAUCCGUGGAUGCCAGUGAGGGAAGCAGCUUGGCUCGGGCCGACCAUGGCGCUAGCGUUGCAACUCGCCGCCAUCCUCCUUCGUCUCCCAUCCACAGCUGGCUCCAACCCCUCCUCUGAUGUGGUGCUAUGAGAGCAAGAAAAAGAGCAGACAUGCUCUGUAUCUACAUCCAGCGUCCACACAGCCAGAUAAUGGAUGUAAUUGUGUGCAUGGAGCUCGCUGAUCUGUGGUUCUUGUGCAACAAAGACCCUUCAGUUAGGUUAUAAAAUCCUUAAUUAUUGGAGCCAUUCAUAUGCAUGUAUCAUGCAUGUAUCAACGAAUGAAGGAAGAAGAUUUUCUUGUAUUACUUUAUGACUUUUUGUCUUUGAUCAUUGAAUGGCACACGCAUAUGCUGAUGUAUAAUGCUUGUUCUGGUAUAUAUUUGUUCUUUGGACACA